AGAUAUGUCGGUCCCUGUGAAUGAGAUACUCCAUCAAUCUCUAGCCUAAGGCACCCUGGAAGAGGAUCAAAACAGCUGUGCAGUUUACAAAAUGCGGUGAGGCUUGCUGAAUCUCAGUUGCUAUCCUGGCUGUCUUCCUGUAUAUCACUGAAAGAAAGAAAGAAAGAAAGAAA
This is a long non-coding RNA of Chelonia mydas (Green sea turtle), 173 nucleotides long. RefSeq lists it as uncharacterized. NCBI's taxonomy places the organism in Eukaryota, Metazoa, Chordata, Testudines, Cheloniidae. The transcript has 2 exons. The record is from RefSeq and is a predicted model, not a curated record.